This 50-nucleotide non-coding RNA is filed under the name Trypanosoma brucei brucei. Lineage: Eukaryota; Euglenozoa; Kinetoplastea; Trypanosomatida; Trypanosomatidae. The record is from RNAcentral.
AUAUAAAUAAUCAAACAGACAAAUGAAACUAGAGAUAGAGAAAUUAAUAU